Molecule: ribosomal RNA, 1789 nt
Filed under: wastewater metagenome
Description: bacterial LSU rRNA
Rfam family: Bacterial large subunit ribosomal RNA
Source: RNAcentral
GGAUGUUGGCUUAGAAGCAGCCAUCAUUUAAAGAAAGCGUAAUAGCUCACUGGUCAAGUUGUUUCGCGCCGAAAAUUUAUCGGGGCUAAGCUUAUUACCGAAGAUGCGGGUUGUCCAUGUAAAUGGACAGCGGUAGAGGAGCGUUCCAAUUCCGUUGAAGUCGCAACGUGAGUUGCGGUGGAGGAUUUGGAAGUGAAAAUGUUGGCAUAAGUAGCAAAAAGGCAAGUGAAAACCUUGCCCACCGAAAAUCUAAGGGUUCCUGGGCAACGAAACUCGACCCAGGGUUAGUCGAUCCUAAGGUGAGGCCAUUGUAGUGGUGGCGUAGCCGAUGGAAGAGCUGGUUAAUAUUCCAGCACUACUAUAAUUUUCCGAUGGGGGGACGCGUUGACAAAGUUUAAGCGUACUAUGGUUUGUGCGUUGUUGGCUUGGCCGUGCCGCCUAGGCAAAUCCGGGUGGCGUUAGCGGCUGAGUUGACUGCCGGCAAAGCUUUCGGGCGGCGCCAAUUUAAGCGGAGUCAGCGCCAAGAAAAUCCUCUAGGGCUAAGAUUAUAGUAAUCGUACUGCAAACCGACACAGGUAGAUGAGGCGAGGAGCCUAAGGUGUACGAGAGAACCUUCGUUAAGGAACUCGGCAAAUCAGCGGUCGUAAGUUCGCAAUAAGACCUCCCCGCGCGAGCGGGGCGCAGCUAAAGACAGCCAAGUGACUGUUUACCAAAAACACAGCUCUCUGCUAAAUCGUAAGAUGAUGUAUAGAGGGUGAUGCCUGGCCAGUGUCCGAACGUUAAGGGGAGAGGUUAGCCGUAAGGCGAAGCCUUGAACUGAAGCGCGGAUGAACGCCGGCCGUAACUAUAACGGUCCUAAGGUAGCGAAAUUCCUUGUCGGGUAAAUUCCGACCUGCACGAAUGGCAUAACAACUUGGUUACUGUCUCGACGAAGGACUCGGCGAAAUUGCAAGACGAGUAAAGAUGCUCGUUAAUCAUAGUUGGACGAAAAGACCCCAUGAAGCUUUACUAUAACUUGAUAUUGGUUUAGGGCUAUACAUGUUCAGGAUAGGUGGGAGCCUUCGGGCGCCGGUGAGAUACCACCCUUGUAUAGUUUUAAACCUAACCUUAGACCAUGAAUCUGGCCAAGGGACAGUGUCUGGUGGGUAGUUUGUCUGGGGCGGAUGCCUCCCAAAAGGUAACGGAGGCGUUUACCAAGGUUGGCUAUCCCGGGAUGGAAAUCCGGGAGAUAGUGUAAAGGCACAAGCCAGCUUUACUGCGAGACCUGCAAGUCAAGCAGUCGCGAAAGCGGAACUUAGUGAUCCGACCAUUCAAUAUAGGAUGGUGGAAGCUCAACGGAUAAAAGCUACUCUGGGGAUAACAGGCUAGUCACGCCCAAGCGUCCACAGCGACGGCGUGGUUCGGCACCUCGAUGUCGGCUCGUCGCAUCCUGGGGGUGGAGAAGCUCCCAAGGGUUGGGCUGUUCGCCCAUUAAAGCGGCACGCGAGCUGGGUUCAGACCGUCGUAAGACAGGUCGGUCUCCUAUCCACUAUGAUCGCGGAAACUUGAGAAGGCGCUUCCCUAGUACGAGAGGACCGGGAAGCACGAAGCUCUGGUGUACCAGCUGUCCUACCAAGGGCAUCGCUGGGUAGCUAUCUUCGGUUAGGAUAAGCGCUGAAAGCAUAUAAGUGCGAAGCCGUCUUCAAGAUUAGGUUUCAUAGACUCCCGGGAGACUACCGGGUUGAUAGGUUCUAGGUGUAAGCGCAGUAAUGCGUUGAGCCGAGGAAUACUAAUAAGUCAUUUGAUUUUC